AUGGGCAUGCGUUCAGAGAAUACAAACAGGGAUUUACAAACAAAAAAGAAGACAAAAAAGAAUUCAUUGUUGUGUGAAAGAUAAAAGUCUUUACGCGAGAGCAAUAGAGGAUGGGAUACAUCUAUCUCUUCUAAGCAACCUCUUCUGAAUUCUUAA
This 156-nucleotide ribosomal RNA is filed under the name Triticum aestivum (bread wheat). RNAcentral describes it as "partial small subunit ribosomal RNA". Lineage: Eukaryota; Viridiplantae; Streptophyta; Magnoliopsida; Poales; Poaceae. The record is from RNAcentral.